Molecule: ribosomal RNA, 441 nt
Filed under: uncultured Anaerolineaceae bacterium
Lineage: Bacteria; Bacillati; Chloroflexota; Anaerolineae; Anaerolineales; Anaerolineaceae
Description: bacterial SSU rRNA
Rfam family: Bacterial small subunit ribosomal RNA
Source: RNAcentral
ACAAGCGGUGGAGCAUGUGGUUUAAUUCGAUGAUACGCGAAGAACCUUACCGGGUUGACAUGCAGGUGAUCGCCGUUGAAAGACGGUUUCCUCUUCGGAGGCACCUGCACAGGUGCUGCAUGGCUGUCGUCAGCUCGUGCCGUGAGAUGUCCGGUUAAGUCCGGUAACGAGCGCAACCCUUGCUGUAUGUUACAAGUGUCAUACGGGACUGCCGGUAUCAAGCCGGAGGAAGGUGGGAUGACGUCAGGUCAGCAUGGCCUUUAUAUCCGGGGCUACACACACGCUACAAUGGUCAGUACAAUAGGUUGCAAAGCCGCGAGGUGGAGCCAAUCCCAAAAGCUGGCCUCAGUUCAGAUUGCAGGCUGCAACCCGCCUGCAUGAAGUUGGAGUUGCUAGUAACCGCGCGUCAGCCAUAGUGCGGUGAAUACGUUCCCGGGCCUU